UACCCAAACCAGAAAAGCCAACAUCAUCACCAUUGGCAGAAGCACCUCGACAGUGUGGAUCCCUGGUCCUGCUAUCAUCAUAAGGCCAUGUGUGACCAUGGGCAGUGACUCUCUCCCAGAGGACUUUCCCUCUGAUGGCAUAAAGGGCUGGCCAAUGACUUAAGAACCAGAGAUUUGGGGUCAGGACCAAGAGGACAAAUCCUACCUUGUGACCUUAAGGACAACAGUUCCAAUCUCAACAGUAACGUCAAGCAGGGCUCCUGACCUCCCCCAGCUUCUGCUCACCACCUCUUCUUACCAGUGACUCUGCUAGCUUUGCCUGCUGGUGCUUGCUGCCAAGCCAACAGAAGCGCCUCGUAAAGUGACUGCAAACCGUGAGGAAGAAAGGAAGAAGUUGGAACUCCUGAGAGAGGCAUGGUGUCUCUCAGUAACAUGGCACUCCCACUGUGACUGGGGCACUGAUGGGCCCUGUGACAGGCCACAGAAAUGAAUGUGAUGCCCCCCUGAUGCCCACAGUAUGGGCGUGGGGUGGAUAACCAACCCCAGUGAGGACAGGGUACCAUUAGUCACUGCCUCAGAGAUAAUGACAGAUGCACAGCCAUGGCGUGCUGUGGCAGAAAGCAGGGAGAAAAGGCUCACUUGGGUCUCCCCAAUGGGUGAGAGAAAAAAGUGAGGGGAGAAGGUGCUCUCAGGUCAGGGGUGGACACACACAAGGGAGGCCCCCCAGGUCUGCUGAGCCAGUGUGAGAGACUGGUGGGUGGCCACUGGAGCCCUGCAGAGUGUGAGCAGCUGUCUCCUGACUCAUCCAUCCUCCCACAUCAUCCACUUUCCCCAAGAUUCAAAUGAUAACACCUGGAUUGGAAUAAAAAGAAAAAUGACUAGA
Molecule: long non-coding RNA, 883 nt
Organism: Canis lupus familiaris (dog)
Lineage: Eukaryota; Metazoa; Chordata; Mammalia; Carnivora; Canidae
Exons: 2
Source: RefSeq, a predicted model, not a curated record